AUGCUGCCAAGAAGCUUGAACAUGCCAUUAGUAAUGUCUAGCAGCAUGGUAGAAAGAAAAGAAUUCAACGGCUGGCUGUGGGAGCUGCCCGACGGCUUCCGCGUCCUCGUCGACCCCAUCCUCGUCGGCAACCUCAACUUCGGCAUCCCCUGGCUCUUCGACGCCACCAAGAAGAGCCUCCCCAAGUCCCAGCCAAACGCCGGCGUCCUCACCAGCGUCGACCUGCUGCUCAUCACCCAGAGCCUGGACGACCACUGCCACCUCCACACCCUCACCCAGCUCGCCGCCAUCCGCCCCGGCCUCCCCAUCAUUGCCACGCCCAACGCGCGCGCAAUCCUCUCCGCCCUCCCCUUCACCCACGUCACCUACCUCGAGCCCGGCCAGUCCACCACCGCCGCCGCCGUCACCGUGCUCGCCACCGCCGGCCCCGUGCUCGGCCCGCCGUGGCAGCGCCCCGAGAACGGCUACAUCGUUCCACAAGUCAGACCCUUAAUUAAGGCUGGUCGUCGCCAGCGGCGACUACAUCGUCGUCAUCAUUGUUGUCGUCGACGAUGUCAUGCUUCUCUCCUCCGACACGGGAUACUCCAACUCCGAGUCGGCGGGAUCCUCCUCCCCCUCCAUGCUCUCCACGAUAGGGUCGUCGAAAGUCAAGGUGAACCAUCCACUCUCCCACUACUAGGAAAAAGCCUAGCAGCAGCGAGGAAUCCAUCAUUAAGAGAAUCGUUCGGUUGCUGGAUGCAGCAGAAGUCGGUCUUAUGGCCGAAGGCGACCCUGCCGCCCCUCAUCUUCUUGUCCCUGACCUCUCCACCCAGUGAUUGGUAG
Molecule: ribosomal RNA, 822 nt
Filed under: Triticum aestivum (bread wheat)
Lineage: Eukaryota; Viridiplantae; Streptophyta; Magnoliopsida; Poales; Poaceae
Description: partial small subunit ribosomal RNA
Source: RNAcentral